AUAUCUCAACCACACCACAGUGGAUGUGGCUUGGAAUUGGGGGUUAUGCAGGCUCUUUCUUGCGGUCUGCUCCCCUGAAAUGCAUGAGUGGUCAAACCUCUGUUAGGUGUGAUAAUUAUCUGCAUCUGAUGGAAAGGUCUCAUGGCUGCUGCUAUACUUCGUUGGAGUUGAUAA
Molecule: unclassified non-coding RNA, 174 nt
Filed under: uncultured Inocybe
Lineage: Eukaryota; Fungi; Basidiomycota; Agaricomycetes; Agaricales; Cortinariaceae
Description: sequence contains ITS2
Source: RNAcentral